Molecule: unclassified non-coding RNA, 376 nt
Filed under: soil metagenome
Description: partial contains 5.8S ribosomal RNA, internal transcribed spacer 2, and large subunit ribosomal RNA
Rfam family: 5.8S ribosomal RNA (bases 1-120)
Source: RNAcentral
GAUGAAGAACGUAGCGAAAUGCGAUAAGUAAUGUGAAUUGCAGAAUUCAGUGAAUCAUCGAAUCUUUGAACGCAUCUUGCGCUCCUUGGUAUUCUGAGGAGCAUGCCUGUUUGAGUGUCAUUAAAUUCUCAACUACACUGACUUUGAAUUGGUGUGGCUUGGAUUUGGGGGGAAAAUUGUUGUGGGCUUUUUGUAUAGUCUGCUCCCCUGAAAUUGAUUAGCGGUACCUUUGUGGAACUGUCUACAGGUGUGAUAAUUAUCUACAUCUGAGACAUCUGCUGGAAUGCUGCUCUCUAAACCUUACUUGUAUUGACAAUCUUGACCUCAAAUCAGGUAGGACUACCCGCUGAACUUAAGCAUAUCAAUAAGCGGAGGA